AUGGAUCCCUUCUCCAGUGAUUUUCAGGCAUACUGGAAGAAGGAAUGUGCCCUGUUAAAUGAAAUGUGUGGACAGCCAUUAUUAUCGCUUUACAUCGGUAAUUCCCGGGGCUUCCUGCGUGCGAGGCGUUGUGCAAACGCGCGGCAGGCACCGCGGGUGCCCCGCAGCUCAGCAUCUUGCCCCUUUGGGCAGCCAGGCACGCGAAGCGCCCUGCACAGCCAACCAAGUCCGCGGUGCAAAACCGGAGCAAAUGGGUUUUGUUUGGCGCGCCGACGCGGUGGGCGGUACGAAGCCGCUCUGCUUUUGUAUCGCUAUAGAAAUCUGGCCUUUGGCAUUGACUUCAGAUACUAUUUUAUUAAAAGAACACAUGAUUCAUUGCAACGGUGCACUUCAGUAUCUAUGAACAGGAAAGCUGGGAAAGACACAAAAGCAGCCGGGCUAUGGAAAAGCGAUUCAGGGAAGCAUUACAGCACAAAGCCGCUCGAUCUGCCGGGAGAGACAACAGAAAGGAACACAGUAUCUCCAAGGAAACAUCUGAGCCCGGCGUCGGAGCCAAGCUGGGUAUCUGCUCCACGCUGGCUGUUUCGUGUUACUGCCGAUGCACAGAGCAAGUUCAUCACCUUUGCAGAACGUCUCGUGAUUGAUUCCUCGUGUCUGGGGAAAUCUGCUCCAGCGUUGCAGGCUGAAACCAGUGCUCGGCUUUAGUGCGCAUAAUCAAGGCUUCGAGACUUGUUUUUCUUCGCUUUGCGCUAGACGG
Molecule: long non-coding RNA, 757 nt
Filed under: Dromaius novaehollandiae (emu)
Lineage: Eukaryota; Metazoa; Chordata; Aves; Casuariiformes; Dromaiidae
Description: lncRNA (ENSDNVG00000017594.1)
Source: RNAcentral